AUGAACGCUGGCGGCGUGCCUAAUACAUGCAAGUCGAGCGAACGGACGAGAAGCUUGCUUCUCUGAUGUUAGCGGCGGACGGGUGAGUAACACGUGGAUAACCUACCUAUAAGACUGGGAUAACUUCGGGAAACCGUAGCUAAUACCGGAUAAUAUUUUGAACCGCAUGGUUCAAAAGUGAAAGACGGUCUUGCUGUCACUUAUAGAUGGAUCCGCGCUGCAUUAGCUAGUUGGUAAGGUAACGGCUUACCAAGGCAACGAUGCAUAGCCGACCUGAGAGGGUGAUCGGCCACACUGGAACUGAGACACGGUCCAGACUCCUACGGGAGGCAGCAGUAGGGAAUCUUCCGCAAUGGGCGAAAGCCUGACGGAGCAACGCCGCGUGAGUGAUGAAGGUCUUCGGAUCGUAAAACUCUGUUAUUAGGGAAGAACAUAUGUGUAAGUAACUGUGCACAUCUUGACGGUACCUGAUCAGAAAGCCACGGCUAACUACGUG
RNAcentral lists this ribosomal RNA (496 nucleotides) under uncultured bacterium. RNAcentral's name for it is "partial 16S ribosomal RNA". It matches the Rfam family "Bacterial small subunit ribosomal RNA", at positions 29 to 507 of the family's 1533-position model. The record is from RNAcentral.